Populus euphratica (Euphrates poplar) is the source of this 278-nucleotide long non-coding RNA. RefSeq lists it as uncharacterized. The transcript is spliced from 2 exons. The record is from RefSeq and is a predicted model, not a curated record. Lineage: Eukaryota; Viridiplantae; Streptophyta; Magnoliopsida; Malpighiales; Salicaceae.
AAUUGUACGCGAUGAGUUGUUCUUGUAGCUUCUGCUGUAUUCACUAUAUGGGGCCUAGCUUAGCUGGUAGCAUGUAAUUUAUAAGUGCUCUUCCAUGGCUGCUACCCACCCGCCAAAGCAAGUGUCCACAUCACGGACCUGCAAAUUCAGCCGAGAUACCAAAUAUAUUGGUUUCAGAUAUCCGAAAGGCGCAAUCCUGGGGUGAAAUUAAUGAAAUGUGACGAAGCUUUUGGUUGACAUGAGAGAUAAUUGACAGGCAGCCAUGUUGCGCGAUGUCA